CUAGUGUGCCAUUUUGCUUAUUCUUUCCUUGGACUUUGCAUGCGCUCUAUUCUUUCAGAGAUAUGUUCAAAGCUAGUUCCUCAGAGGUGUAUUCUUUCAUAGAUAUGUUAAAGCUAAUUCUUUAUUCUUUCAGAGAUAUGUUGUUUUCAUACUUUCAGCUCACACUGUAGCUUUUUUUUCAGUUCAAUGGAUUCCAAAAAGGAAAAAAAUUAUGGAUGGGUGAUGAAUCAACUUCCUGUACUGUUGUGCCAUUAGCAUUGGACGACCCCGACCACUGGCACCACUGCUUCCCUACCUCCUGCUUGCAUCGCCAUCUCCCGGUGGGGCUCUGCCGCCGGAGCACCCUGGCCGUUCACAGCCACCACUCCAGGCCGUUCAACGCCACCACCCCAGGCCGUUCAUUGCCAGCAGCACCCUGGAUCCCACCCCUCACCCUAGGAGUUUCAGUUAUCGACAAGUCCAUGUAGUACUACAUGCGAAGUACAAAAAUUACUGCUAGUGAGAGUUCAUUUAAAUCCUGGAAGUUCAACGCUGCAACUACAGGCC
This is a non-coding RNA of Aegilops tauschii subsp. strangulata, 546 nucleotides long. The record is from RefSeq and is a predicted model, not a curated record. NCBI's taxonomy places the organism in Eukaryota, Viridiplantae, Streptophyta, Magnoliopsida, Poales, Poaceae.